RNAcentral lists this non-coding RNA (39 nucleotides) under Mus musculus (house mouse). The record is from RNAcentral. Lineage: Eukaryota; Metazoa; Chordata; Mammalia; Rodentia; Muridae.
AGAAGAGAAUGUGGACAGGGCUAAUGACAUGCUUCCAAA